RNAcentral lists this ribosomal RNA (256 nucleotides) under uncultured bacterium. RNAcentral describes it as "partial small subunit ribosomal RNA". It matches the Rfam family "Bacterial small subunit ribosomal RNA", at positions 26 to 285 of the family's 1533-position model. The record is from RNAcentral.
AGGACGAACGCUGGCGGCGUGCUUAACACAUGCAAGUCGAGCGGAAAGGCCCUUCGGGGUACUCGAGCGGCGAACGGGUGAGUAACACGUGAGCAACCUGCCCUUAGCUUCGGGAUAGCUCCGGGAAACCGGAAUUAAAUACCGAAUAUGACUUUGGCUGACAUCAGCAGAAGUGGAAAGUUUUUUCGGCUAGGGAUGGACUCGCGGCCUAUCAGCUAGUUGGUGAGGUAACGGCCCACCAAGGCGACGACGGGUA